GGUCCUGAGCCAGAUUCCUCAAACCUUGCCAUGCGUGCCACACCCUGACCGCUCGCUGCGGGCAACCCUGGGUAGAGCACCCUUUCUCUCGCUGUCCAUCUCAGGGAUGCUGCCGCCCUCUGUAUGUGAGCUCCCCUAACAGGUGCCCUGGGCCGUCACGCUGGUGCUUUGGGCUUGGCUCUUUGCAGUCCCAGCCCCAUCUCGGAGGUUCGCUCUUUGCAGUCCCAGCCCCGUCUCGGAGGUUCGCUCUUUGCAGUCCCAGCCCCGUCUUGGAGGGAGGGGGUUGAGACACCCCCUCCAAAGAGCUCCCCUGUUGCUGCUUUUGGGCAGCCUCGGGCUGAGCGGGAUGAAGCAGUGUGCACCCUUUUAUGGCCCGCCCUCAGCAUUACACAUCACUACACACACAGCAUAUCUGACCUCUGGACCAGCUGCUGUGGAUUCUGAGGAAGGGUGCACAUUUUGCAUGACGGGGUCAUGCACUUCCAGGCACAGACCCAGCCCUGCGCGUGCAGCUGCACAUGCGAGCGAGUCAUCUGCACUGCGGUUUCCCAUCCAAACUGGAAUUCGCAACACCCAUUUCUCAGCGGAAUACAGAGGAACCACGCAGACACUAACCGUGGACACAUGCCACACAGAUGCCGUGGCCACAUGGUGCUGUAGGAAGGAACCAGGCCCAGGAGCACAGCCGUGUGCCCCUCCCUGGGAAGCCAGACACGGACAGCCAGGAGCGCUGGGCCUUGCAAAGGGGCGCGUGUCUCCGAGGCUUACGCUGAGGGUGCGCUGGUCGGGUUUCACGGAGCUGCACCCUUCAGCCCUGUGCACUGUGCUGUGUGUUACUUAUGCCCCCGUCAAGUCCUGCUGUUUUUUUAAAAAAUCCAAACUGGAAACCAAUCUAUGGCAACAAAGGUCACCAGUGCUUCCUCUGGGGCUGACCCUCUGGGGUGGGCGAGAGGAGCGCAGCCCCUUUACCUGGCUGCAGCCACAUAGGGGAACACUGGGGUGCAAUGACCACACCUUGUACGUCAACAAGCAUGUAGCUAAAAUGAUAAAAUUUCUCACACCUGUAGUCCCAGCACUUUGGGAGGCUGAGGCAGGCAGGUCGCCUAAGGUUGGGAGUUCGAGACCAGCCUGACCAACAUGGAGAAACCUGUCUCUACCAAAA
This 1162-nucleotide long non-coding RNA is filed under the name Pongo abelii (Sumatran orangutan). Its description in RNAcentral is "lncRNA (ENSPPYG00000035785.1)". Lineage: Eukaryota; Metazoa; Chordata; Mammalia; Primates; Hominidae. The record is from RNAcentral.